This 78-nucleotide non-coding RNA is filed under the name Klebsiella planticola. Lineage: Bacteria; Pseudomonadati; Pseudomonadota; Gammaproteobacteria; Enterobacterales; Enterobacteriaceae. The record is from RNAcentral. RNAcentral also lists the same sequence under 2 other names.
CACACAUAGGUUCCUCCUUAGAAGGUUUCUAUGGAUAGUUGGUGUAGAGAGGGUUCGACUCUCUACACCAAUGAUUCU